AGCUUGCUCCCGGAUGUUAGCGGCGGACGGGUGAGUAACACGUGGGUAACCUGCCUGUAAGACUGGGAUAACUCCGGGAAACCGGAGCUAAUACCGGAUAGUUCCUUGAACCGCAUGGUUCAAGGAUGAAAGACGGUUUCGGCUGUCACUUACAGAUGGACCCGCGGCGCAUUAGCUAGUUGGUGAGGUAACGGCUCACCAAGGCGACGAUGCGUAGCCGACCUGAGAGGGUGAUCGGCCACACUGGGACUGAGACACGGCCCAGACUCCUACGGGAGGCAGCAGUAGGGAAUCUUCCGCAAUGGACGAAAGUCUGACGGAGCAACGCCGCGUGAGUGAUGAAGGUUUUCGGAUCGUAAAGCUCUGUUGUUAGGGAAGAACAAGUGCAAGAGUAACUGCUUGCACCUUGACGGUACCUAACCAGAAAGCCACGGCUAACUACGUGCCAGCAGCCGCGGUAAUACGUAGGUGGCAAGCGUUGUCCGGAAUUAUUGGGCGUAAAGGGCUCGCAGGCGGUUUCUUAAGUCUGAUGUGAAAGCCCCCGGCUCAACCGGGGAGGGUCAUUGGAAACUGGGAAACUUGAGUGCAGAAGAGGAGAGUGGAAUUCCACGUGUAGCGGUGAAAUGCGUAGAGAUGUGGAGGAACACCAGUGGCGAAGGCGACUCUCUGGUCUGUAACUGACGCUGAGGAGCGAAAGCGUGGGGAGCGAACAGGAUUAGAUACCCUGGUAGUCCACGCCGUAAACGAUGAGUGCUAAGUGUUAGGGGGUUUCCGCCCCUUAGUGCUGCAGCUAACGCAUUAAGCACUCCGCCUGGGGAGUACGGUCGCAAGACUGAAACUCAAAGGAAUUGACGGGGGCCCGCACAAGCGGUGGAGCAUGUGGUUUAAUUCGAAGCAACGCGAAGAACCUUACCAGGUCUUGACAUCCUCUGACAACCCUAGAGAUAGGGCUUUCCCUUCGGGGACAGAGUGACAGGUGGUGCAUGGUUGUCGUCAGCUCGUGUCGUGAGAUGUUGGGUUAAGUCCCGCAACGAGCGCAACCCUUGAUCUUAGUUGCCAGCAUUCAGUUGGGCACUCUAAGGUGACUGCCGGUGACAAACCGGAGGAAGGUGGGGAUGACGUCAAAUCAUCAUGCCCCUUAUGACCUGGGCUACACACGUGCUACAAUGGACAGAACAAAGGGCUGCGAGACCGCAAGGUUUAGCCAAUCCCACAAAUCUGUUCUCAGUUCGGAUCGCAGUCUGCAACUCGACUGCGUGAAGCUGGAAUCGCUAGU
Molecule: ribosomal RNA, 1276 nt
Filed under: Bacillus sp. (in: firmicutes)
Lineage: Bacteria; Bacillati; Bacillota; Bacilli; Caryophanales; Bacillaceae
Description: bacterial SSU rRNA
Rfam family: Bacterial small subunit ribosomal RNA
Source: RNAcentral